Non-coding RNA from Cyanistes caeruleus (blue tit), 1155 nucleotides. The record is from RefSeq and is a predicted model, not a curated record. Lineage: Eukaryota; Metazoa; Chordata; Aves; Passeriformes; Paridae.
UUUAUGAAGUAAUGUCAUUUGUCUGAGAAGAAAAUAAUUCUUACCUGAAAUUUGGCAUGGAAAGUGCUUGACUUGGAACACUAUGAUUUUUAGAGAAAGAAGAUGCCCUUCCUCAGUAUCUUGUGAUGUGCAAAGUUUCAUGUCAGAUCAGCUCCCCAGCACAGGUCAGCAAACAGCAUGAAUUGUUCUCUGCAAGUAGGUCAGAUCCAGGAGAACCCAGGGAGCAGGAUAGCAAACUGCAGAGUGUGCAGACCUUGGACUCAAGCGUGGCACUCCCAAGCUAAGCUGCUUGCCGUUUUUAUCUGGAAGUGUCUCAUUGCUCUGAAAGGGUUAUAGUCCUCUGCAGUCACUGAACCCAAAGACUUGGCUUGGCUGCAGAUCAAGCGCGUGAAGAACGUGUGACCUUCUCAACACAGAAAACCUUUGUCAUGAAAUGAACUCAAGUACCAACAGAGAGAUUUGUACUGGGAAUAACCAGUGCCUCUCUCCUUCUUCUGUGAAGAGAUGCAUAGUUCAGCCAGUGCUUCUCACAGGCAGUUGUUACUUUGUUAAACUAAAUUUUCCUGGGCUCUUCCUGAGUCCUUGGGUUAAACAGUUAUCACCACAGAAAGAGAGGACACUCAACUGUUCCCACACAUGGAACUAAGGGAGGAAUUAGUUGUUUCCUAUUAUCUGCUUCCAAAGGCAGGCUCUCCCAUCACUGAAUGAGACAAGAAACAAUGUUAUAACCUCAUAAUUUGGAAGGGUAAGAGCAUAAACCUUACUAUUUGGAUCAUCCUCUCUUACCCCUCCAAUGUGACUGCAGACAUGUGGAUGCUGUUUACUUCCUCUCUAAUGAGACAGGUUCUGCAAAGGAGAACUUCAGUGCUAUAAAAAUAUUGACCUGGAAAAGGCCUGUCUGAAAAUCUUCUAUAUGAAAUUCUAAAGCCUGGUUACAAACAUUAAUGUAAAGUGUUUCACAACUUUCUUGUCAGACAGGUAAUUGUUGUUAUCACCAUUUCAUGUCUUGCAUGAACUGGGACAAAGACUAUGUGAGUUGCUCAAAGUGACAGAGAUGAGAACAGCAUCCAGCUCCCAAAGCUAAGAAUACAUAAGGCAUGGCAGAUCCCCACUCCAUUUAAUUUCAUGAACAAAGCAUAUUAAUGUACAGAUGAA